AGUCAUUUGAUAAUCUACAUGAAUACCAAAAGAAUCACACAGAAAGAAUCGUUUAAAGCGUAUUUGGCGUUGUUAUUUUUGAUUCUCGGUUUUGAUAGAAUCUCAUCUAUCUCUUUUCUUGAGUAAGUUGAAAUCUUCUUCUUGAGAGACGUUUUAUAUGUCGGCAUUCUAUUUAGUUUGAAUUAUUAUAUGAGCUUCGUAGGUUCUUUCACUUAUAUCCCCUGUCGCUACAGUCUGUGUAAUUCCUUAAAUUAUUUAUGGAACAGUACAUAUACAUGCUUUGAAUAUGACUCUCUCUCUCUCUCCG
RNAcentral lists this long non-coding RNA (307 nucleotides) under Nicotiana benthamiana. RNAcentral's name for it is "long non-coding RNA (NBEN_LNC028003)". Lineage: Eukaryota; Viridiplantae; Streptophyta; Magnoliopsida; Solanales; Solanaceae. The record is from RNAcentral.